Small nucleolar RNA from Alosa sapidissima (American shad), 128 nucleotides. RefSeq annotates it as small nucleolar RNA SNORA63. The record is from RefSeq and is a predicted model, not a curated record. Lineage: Eukaryota; Metazoa; Chordata; Actinopteri; Clupeiformes; Clupeidae. The transcript has a single exon.
AUGCAGGAUAUCUACAUGGCAACUGUUCAGUGCUGUUUUGUCGUUCCCCCUGCAAACAUUAAUCUGUUUCCUACUAUCCCUGUCUGUCAGCAAUUCCACGGCAGGCAGGGACGCUUGGUCUCAGACAU